CCUACUGGUGGCAGCAGUGAGGAAUAUUGGUCAAUGGUCGGGAGACUGAACCAGCCAAGCCGCGUGAGGGAUGAAGGUACAGAGUAUCGUAAACCUCUUUUGUCAGGGAACAAAGGCGGGGACGUGUCCCCGGAUGAGUGUACCUGAAGAAAAAGCAUCGGCUAACUCCGUGCCAGCAGCCGCGGUAAUACGGAGGAUGCGAGCGUUAUCCGGAUUUAGUGGGUUUAAAGGGUGCGCAGGCGGUCGGUUAAGUAAGCUGUCAAAGCCCGGGGCUAAACCCCGGCACGGCCGUUGAAACGGGCAGUCUCGAGUUGGAGAGAAGUAGGCGGAAUGCUCGGUGUAGCGGUGAAAUGCAUAGAUAUCAGGAGGAAUAC
This 374-nucleotide ribosomal RNA is filed under the name uncultured bacterium. Its description in RNAcentral is "partial 16S ribosomal RNA". It matches the Rfam family "Bacterial small subunit ribosomal RNA", at positions 338 to 709 of the family's 1533-position model. The record is from RNAcentral.